RNAcentral lists this ribosomal RNA (253 nucleotides) under uncultured bacterium. RNAcentral describes it as "partial 16S ribosomal RNA". It matches the Rfam family "Bacterial small subunit ribosomal RNA", at positions 524 to 776 of the family's 1533-position model. The record is from RNAcentral.
AACGUAGGAGACAACCGUUAUCCGGAGUUACUGGGCGUAAAGGGCGCGCAGGUGGCUCUGUAUGUCUGCCGUGAAAGCAUACAGCUCAACUGUAUUGUGUCGGUAGAAACUGCAGGACUUGAGGCUGGGAGGGGCUGGUGGAAUUCCCUGUGUAGCGGUGAAAUGCGUAGAGAUGGGGGAGAACACUCGUGGCGAAGGCGGCCAGCUAGACCAGUUCUGACACUGAGGCGCGACAGCGUGGGGAGCAAACAGG